CCCUCCCCGUCAGCCGCCCUCGCUGCCGCGGUGCGCUGGCUGCAGGAAGCCGCGGCACCGCUUUUGUUGUCAGGGUCCCCGCGAGGAUCGCCGCUCGCCGGCUGCCGCCGCCCUUUCUUACUGCGGCCCGCUCUCCGGCCGCGGGGCCCGGGGCCCGGGCGCCACGCCCGCCCUGCCCAUGAGGGGGCUCCGCGACCACCGCUGCCGCCAGUCCCGGACGGCGCGGCGCUGAGACGGCGGCGGCGGCGGCAGCGCUGCCUCCUCUGCGAGAAGCGGGCAGCGUCGGCCGCAUCCCCGAGGGCACCAUGGAGGUGAAUGCGGGAGGCGUGAUUGCUUAUAUCAGUUCUUCGAGCUCAGCCUCUAGCCCUGCCUCUUGUCACAGUGAGGGUUCUGAGAAUAGUUUCCAGUCCUCCUCCUCUUCUGUUCCAUCUUCUCCAAAUAGCUCUAAUUCUGAUGCCAAUGGUAACCUCAAGAAUGGUGAUCUCUCCAAUAUUGAAGGCAUCCUGAAAAAUGAUCGAAUAGAUUGUUCUAUGAAAACAAGCAAAUCGAGUGCACCUGGGAUGACAAAGAAUCAUGGUGGUGUGACAAAAUUUAGUGGCAUGGUUCUACUGUGUAAAGUCUGUGGGGAUGUGGCAUCAGGAUUCCACUAUGGAGUUCAUGCUUGCGAAGGCUGUAAGGGUUUCUUUCGGAGAAGUAUUCAGCAAAACAUCCAGUACAAGAAAUGCCUGAAGAAUGAAAACUGCUCUAUAAUGAGAAUGAAUAGGAACAGAUGUCAGCAAUGUCGUUUCAAAAAGUGUCUAUCUGUUGGAAUGUCAAGAGAUGCUGUUCGGUUUGGUCGUAUCCCUAAGCGUGAAAAACAGAGGAUGUUAAUUGAAAUGCAAAGUGCGAUGAAGACCAUGAUGAACAGCCAGUUCAGUGGUCACUUGCAGAAUGACACAUUAGUAGAACAUCAUGAACAGACAGCCUUACCAGCCCAGGAACAGCUGCGACCCAAGCCCCAGCUGGAGCAAGAAAACAUCAAAAGCUCUCCUCCUCCCUCUUCUGAUUUUGCAAAGGAAGAAGUGAUUGGCAUGGUGACUAGAGCCCACAAGGAUACCUUCAUGUAUAAUCAAGAGCAGCGAGAAAACUCAGCUGAGAGCAUGCAUCCUCAGAGAGGAGAACGGAUUCCCAAGAACAUGGAACAGUAUAAUUUAAAUCAUGACCAUCGUGGCAGUGGGCUUAGCGGCCAUUUUCCCUGUAGUGAGAACCAACAGCAUCUCAAUGGACAGUACAAAGGGAGGAACAUAAUGCAUUACCCAAAUGGGCAUGCCAUUUGUAUUGCAAAUGGACAUUGUAUGAACUUCUCCAAUGCUUAUACUCAAAGAGUAUGUGAUAGAGUUCCAAUAGAUGGAUUUUCUCAGAAUGAGAGCAAGAAUAGUUACCUGUGCAACACUGGAGGGAGAAUGCAUCUGGUUUGUCCAAUGAGUAAGUCUCCGUAUGUGGAUCCUCAUAAAUCGGGGCAUGAAAUCUGGGAAGAAUUUUCGAUGAGCUUCACCCCAGCGGUGAAAGAAGUGGUAGAAUUUGCAAAGCGUAUUCCUGGGUUCAGAGAUCUUUCUCAGCAUGACCAGGUCAACCUUUUAAAGGCUGGAACUUUUGAGGUUUUAAUGGUACGGUUUGCAUCAUUAUUUGAUGCAAAGGAGCGUACUGUCACCUUUUUAAGUGGAAAGAAGUAUAGUGUGGAUGAUUUACACUCAAUGGGAGCAGGGGAUCUGCUAAACUCUAUGUUUGAAUUUAGUGAGAAGCUAAAUGCCCUCCAACUUAGUGAUGAAGAGAUGAGUUUGUUUACAGCAGUUGUCCUGGUAUCUGCAGGCUCAAAAGGAAAGCUGUUAGGAAAAGCAAACAGUUUAUCAGGCAUUGCAACAAAGACACUUGAGGAGAAAGACAAGCUGUCACUUCAAGGACAGGAAGAAAAAUCCCUGCAUCUGUAGAAGUAUCAGACGUGCCAGUGCCUUGUUAAAAAAAAAAAUCAUGAAAUGAGGAAGAAAAACAUCGGAGAUAAAAGAGGAGAUUAAAAAAAUAGAAAACAAUUGAAAUCAUCUGCAAGCAAGGAUGGAGGACUACAGCCUUGGGGGAGGGAUGUGUUGGAGUAUUGCAACAAAUGGAACAAAUGAAAACACUGAAAUAUAAUUAAGAAUCAGCCUAAGUAUUCAGAUGUACUAUUUACUUUAGAUGACAAAUCUGCGUAAUUGGUUUCAGCUGCCCAGCCCACAUCCAGUUCGAGUUUUGUAACUUUCAAUAGUUUGAGGUCUUAAGCACAUAAACGUUUGCACCUAAUGACAACUGUCUGAAUUCUGGAUCAAAAUUGCUUGCUGUUUCUCAAAAUAUCAAGUUGGGAGAACAGGACAGCUGAAUUAGGAAUUAAGUUUAGCUAAAGAGAUUGGGAUAGGAGAAGCUAAAUUAAAAGAAAAAAUCAUUUACUGUGAAACUGGUUGGAUUUUUGAAGCGUCACUUGUGCUAACCUGUUAUUGGGAUUAGGCAUGAUGCUCCCAGUUUAGGCUUCACUUCCUCCAUGUGGUCAUUACAAUGGCUUUUCUCAUGAGGAGUUUCUCUACAUUUAUCUUUCUGUAUUAAAUCAGUAGCGUAGGCAGUUUUUAUUUCUGUUUUUGGUAAGGUUUUUUUUUUUUCUUCUUUUUUUUGAUGGCUGGCCAGUAUGGGAAUCCAAACUCUUGACCUUAGUGUUAUAAAAACUGAGCUCUAACCAACUGAGUUAACUGGCCAGCCCUUUGAAAUGUUUUUAAUACAACACCAUUUCACUCAGUUUACUCUUUCUUGGACAAAGGUGUAAUCAGAUACAAGGUACUUCAAAAAGUUCAUGGAAAGAUUUGUAUUUCCUUUCAAUUCUAGUUUUCCACAAACUUUUUGAAGUGCCCUUGUACAUUAAUCUGAAAACAAUCCAUAAAACAUAAAAUGACAAACAAUUGUUACAUUGGUUAUUAGGACCUAUGCAAUAUGUGAGCUAAAUUAAUGCAAUAGUAAAAGGAUUAUACAAGUGGUUCUGAAACUUUAGUGUGCAUCAAAAUCAUGACUCAAGUGUUCCUUGAAACACAGAUUGCUGGACCCCAUUCCCAGAGUUUUUGUGCAUUUCUAACAAAUUCCAAGUGAUGCUGAUGUUCCUGAUCCGGAGACCUCACUUUGAGAACCACUUAUUUACUAUUGCUUUGUGUUGCUUCGCCCCCCACGGAUUUGUCACCCCACUUCCCCUGGGUGACGGAGAUGCAAAGGAUUACUCAAAGCCCAUCUCUUCCGAGCAGUGAGAAGCCCCAAAGUGGUUAACUUCCCUGGGAAUGCUCCAGUGAGAGCCAACCCUUCCAUUUGGGAAAUUAACACCAAAUUGGGGUUCUCUUCCUGCAUUUAUUUUCCAGACCAGGAAGUUACAGGAAGAGAACAAAGGUGGGGUUAUAGUUUAACAAUAUGGGCUGGUAACUUUCAGUGAAACAAGCCAGAUGACAUUCCAGUAAGUCAAUUAAGGGGUCCUAUCAACAACAGUUUGAUCUUAGCAAACGUUCCUUCUUAACAGUAGUUUCUCAGUAACAAUCAGUACUCAUCUGUCUUUGAGCCAGCAACCUGCUGUGCCACAAUUCUUAUCUUGCAACAGAGACUUAUAGCCUGAGGAAAAUUUCCUGUCCUUGCAAAGUCAAUAUUUGAAACUGCAAGGCUUUGGAAAACCAGGCCCUGUGAAGUACAUGUGCUUUUUAGUAUAUUCCACAAUUUACACAUUUGCUGAAAAUUUUUUUUAUUUGAUUUGCUUAUGGCUUUGGUAUUCACCUUCCUACAGUUAUAUAGGUCAGAAUCAGAUACUUAAUGAUUGGAAGAGGAGGACAGAGUGUGCAGAUAUUUAUUAAACACCUGGUACUGUAUGUGCCUAGUUCCAGGUUCUUUACAGUCUUAAUCUUCUCACUUAAUGUUUCCUAUGACCAUACAAAGUAUGAUUUACUCUCCCCGCUCAACAUAUAGAAACUGAGUCUUAAAGAGGUAGGGAACCUUCCAAAGGCAAACAGCUAGCAAGUGGCUGAGUUUGAAUUUGGAUCCAGGUGUGCUUGACUGCAAAGACUGCACUAAACAAGAGGGCUUCAAAACAUUCAUCAUAGUUUGAUUUAUUGAAUUUCACAGAAUUCAGUUUAAACUGACCUUACUUGACUGACCACAAGCAAAUUCCUUAAUUUUUGGACCUGUCUCCUUUUCUAAAGAGGUAAGUACUUAUCUCUCAGUGCUGGUAUAAAGAUUAAGUGAAAUAACAUAUGUAAGAGUGCAUAGUACAGUGUGUGGCACAUAGUAAGCAUUCAUUAAAGCUGAACUCCUGUCAGGAUUUAAAAACUAACGCCACCUUAAGUGACAUUACAAGUGGAUUAAUGCGGCAGCCUAAGAUGGCGCCAGGAGGAAGAAGGGUGGGAGUGUCUGUAGGAAUCUUGCCUUAGUCCUUAUUGGCCAAAUACAUGCUUCCGUGCUUAUGAACACUGCAUGAUUGCAAUAGAUAGGCAUUGAGACAGGAUGCAUGCUCUUGUAACCCUUAAGCUGAUUGGAGGAUGUAAAAAACCUGCCUUCCCCAUUUGCCUUUAAAAGCAAGUGCUUGUGUGAUAAUAAACGGAACUGCUCGACAGAACCCCCGCUGCGUCUGAGUGUCCUUUAACCCGGCUGGUUGGGGCUGGUGGUGUGCUCACCUCUCUUCACGGCUCUCUUCCCCCGUCUCCUUCCAAAGGGGACAGGAGGGAAAGAGGAAUCCCGGGCCAUUUGCUCGCCCACCAAAAGGAAUAAGGCGAGGGCUGUUUGGGUCGGCUGGCGGCGGACCCGACAAACUCCCUUUCCUUUCUUUAGAAAUGCAAGGAUUUAAUUCAAGUUCGUCUUAGAAAUAAGUGAGAAAGCUAUGAAUAGGACAGAGACACUCAAAUUCUGGCAUGUCCCAGGGACUUUGAAACACCUUAGUGGAGAGGAAGGCAGCCAAUCUGUUUGUCAGUCAGCAUGCCCUGCAUGAGUCUUCCAGAUUUCUGAAGAGGAGCCCACCACUACAUUUGUGUCAAGUCACCCAGCCCCUCUGAUGACAGUGGAUGUCUGUCCUGAACAACCUGUUCUCACCAGUGCAACCAAAAGGAACCAGACACACUCUAGGAGGCAGCAGGAAGUUGUGAACCAUGAAAUACUAGACUGUCCUCACAAUACAUUGGCUGAAACUGAAAUAUGGGCCCAAGAGGUGAACUGUGGUGAAUCUCCACUCACAGAGGAGCCAGGAUUUCCACACCUACCUGUUCCUGUUUUAUGUCAUGGGUCAACCACAAUGGGGAAAUCUCAAUUCAUCACCAGUGGAUUGUUAUCUGUACUAGCUGAGGCUCAAGGUUUAGCCCUGUGACAACUUCCUGAAGUCCCACUGUUGCCCAAAGGUCACAUUCCUUCCCAGGUCCAAAUGCAUGGAGUAUGCAUAAAGCAAAUGUACUUCACAGGGCCUGGUUUUCCAAAGCCUUGCAGUUUCAAAUAUUGACCUUGCAAAGGACAGGAAAUUUUCCCCAGGCUAUAGUCUCUGUUGUAAGAUAAAGCAUUGCAACACAGCAAGGUUGCUGGUUCAAGGACAGACAGGUUACUUAUUGAUAUGUAAAGAUACUGGGAAAUUGCUGUAAGAAGAGAAUGUUUGCUAAAAUCAAGCUUUUGUUAGUGGAUCAACUUAAUUGCAUUUUAGAAUAUCACCUUGCCUGUCUUACAGAAUGUUACCAAUCUAACUAAAUUAUUGUUGAUUAUAGUGGCUUGGAAAUUUUGUCAAAUUGUCUUAAAAAUUAUUUAGAACGUUAACAAAAGGAAAAAAUGUGUUUAUAACAUUAAAAAGGAUGAAAAGCAA
This is an RNA transcript of Cynocephalus volans (Philippine flying lemur), 5860 nucleotides long. It is a transcript of the gene named nuclear receptor subfamily 1 group D member 2, with no coding region annotated. The transcript has 9 exons. The record is from RefSeq and is a predicted model, not a curated record. NCBI's taxonomy places the organism in Eukaryota, Metazoa, Chordata, Mammalia, Dermoptera, Cynocephalidae.